UCCGUAGGCGGGUAAUUAAGUCAGAGGUGAAAUCCCACAGCUUAACUGUGGAACUGCCUUAGAUACUGGUUAUCUUGAGUUUUAGUGAAGUAGAUAGAAUGUGUAGUGUAGCGGUGAAAUGCAUAGAUAUUACACAGAAUACCGAUUGCGAGGGCAGUCUACUAACUAACAACUGACGCUAAUGGACGAAAGCGUGGGGAGCGAACAGGAUUAGAUACCCUGGUAGUCC
RNAcentral lists this ribosomal RNA (229 nucleotides) under uncultured bacterium. Its description in RNAcentral is "partial 16S ribosomal RNA". It matches the Rfam family "Bacterial small subunit ribosomal RNA", at positions 568 to 796 of the family's 1533-position model. The record is from RNAcentral.